RNAcentral lists this ribosomal RNA (752 nucleotides) under Mammaliicoccus sciuri. Its description in RNAcentral is "bacterial SSU rRNA". It matches the Rfam family "Bacterial small subunit ribosomal RNA", at positions 56 to 790 of the family's 1533-position model. The record is from RNAcentral. Lineage: Bacteria; Bacillati; Bacillota; Bacilli; Caryophanales; Staphylococcaceae.
UGCAGUCGAGCGAACAGAUGAGAAGCUUGCUUCUCUGAUGUUAGCGGCGGACGGGUGAGUAACACGUGGGUAACCUACCUAUAAGACUGGGAUAACUCCGGGAAACCGGGGCUAAUACCGGAUAAUAUUUUGAACCGCAUGGUUCGAUAGUGAAAGACGGUUUCGGCUGUCACUUAUAGAUGGACCCGCGCCGUAUUAGCUAGUUGGUAAGGUAACGGCUUACCAAGGCGACGAUACGUAGCCGACCUGAGAGGGUGAUCGGCCACACUGGAACUGAGACACGGUCCAGACUCCUACGGGAGGCAGCAGUAGGGAAUCUUCCGCAAUGGGCGAAAGCCUGACGGAGCAACGCCGCGUGAGUGAUGAAGGUCUUCGGAUCGUAAAACUCUGUUGUUAGGGAAGAACAAAUUUGUUAGUAACUGAACAAGUCUUGACGGUACCUAACCAGAAAGCCACGGCUAACUACGUGCCAGCAGCCGCGGUAAUACGUAGGUGGCAAGCGUUAUCCGGAAUUAUUGGGCGUAAAGCGCGCGUAGGCGGUUUCUUAAGUCUGAUGUGAAAGCCCACGGCUCAACCGUGGAGGGUCAUUGGAAACUGGGAAACUUGAGUGCAGAAGAGGAGAGUGGAAUUCCAUGUGUAGCGGUGAAAUGCGCAGAGAUAUGGAGGAACACCAGUGGCGAAGGCGGCUCUCUGGUCUGUAACUGACGCUGAUGUGCGAAAGCGUGUGGAUCAAACAGGAUUAGAUACCCUGG